GAGGAAGAUGCAGAUUGGGUGCGUGGGUUGUCGCAGUUCAUCCUUCAGAAUUCGCUACUUGCCUCUGGUGGUGGAGUAAGACUAAACAAUGAUCGCUAUGACUCGAAGGGAAAUACGCACGAAAUUUUUGGAGGAGACGGGAGAGAGUGAGGGCUUCGAGAGUGUUUUGCAAAGGGAUUGGGAGAGAUUGUUGUCAUCCUCCAAAACCGCCACGUCUUUGCGCAUCUCGUCCUCUGCUGGGUCAACUUCCUCAACCUCAUCACCACCGGAAGAAAGCGAGAGACGAAGUCACCUUUCUGAUUCUUCCAGGGUUCGUCGGAGGCGAGAGAAGGAGAAGAGAAGUGGGGAGAACCACGAUCGGCCAGAGAGAGGGAGAGAGGAUCUUUUUUGCCAUUGAGGAUCGGUUUUCCUCUCAAUGGCUGCUAGCAUAUUUGGACGCGCUCUCCGGCGCCAAUCGACGACGCUUUUCCUAGCCCGCACCCUCUCCUCCACCGCCGCCGCUUCUGCUACCGCUCCCAUCCGCGCGACCCUGUUUCCCGGCGAUGGCAUCGGGCCCGAGAUUGCCGAAUCCGUCAAACAGGUGUUUAAUGCUGCUGAAGUGCCCAUUGAAUGGGAAGAACAUUUUGUGGGUGACCAAGUUGACCCUAGGACACAAAGUUUUUUUACUUGGGAAAGUUUAGAAUCUGUGAGGAGGAAUGGUGUUGGCUUAAAAGGGCCAAUGCCUACACGGAUUGCAAAGGGCCAUAGAUCAUUGAAUCUUGCCCUGCGGAAAGAACUUGGUCUCUAUGCCAAUGUCAGAUCUUGCUACAGUUCACGCAUCUCGUCCUCCGUUGGGCCAACUUCCUCAACCUCAUCACCACUGGUGGCAACAUCUCAUCGCACCACGACGUUUCCAGGUUCAUGGUUUGGGGAAUCAUUCCUAAUAUCCGCAUAAGCACAAGCGCAUGUUAAGUGGACUUGGUCUGUUUGAAGCUUGCAAAAAGUUGUGGGCGGAUCUUGAAGAUGCUGGUCUUGCUGUGAAGAAGGAAUCAUCUACAUCAAGAGUACCAAGAUCAUAACGUGGUGGGGAGGUGAUAGAGCCACUUGUUGGUAAGCAGUUGUUUGUAGUCAUGGGGCCUUAGGGCACUGGAAAAGGGAAACAAACCCAUCAUUCUUGAGAGGUUUGAAAAGGUAAGGCCUAGCAGGAUUAUGAGCUAGAAGAUGAACAGUAACGUACAUAUAUAUAUAUAUAUAUUGAAAUGUUGAAUGUUGUUGCUGCAGGUAAGGCCUAACAGGAUUAUGAGCUAGAAGAUGUAUAUAUAUAUAUAUAUAUAUAUAUAUAUAUAUAUAUAUAUAUGCUGAGACGUGAUAUAGCAAAGGUUUUAUGUAGAUGUCAUAUUUUUGUGUAAAUAAUUUUUCUUUAUAUCUGUGUACUUUAAUUAAUUCCAGUUGGGAUUAGGUUGUUAUAAAGAGUUCAUUCACAAAUCAAA
Molecule: long non-coding RNA, 1469 nt
Organism: Nymphaea colorata (pocket water lily)
Lineage: Eukaryota; Viridiplantae; Streptophyta; Magnoliopsida; Nymphaeales; Nymphaeaceae
Exons: 6
Source: RefSeq, a predicted model, not a curated record